GACGAACGCUGGCGGCGUGCUUAACACAUGCAAGUCGAGCGGGUAAGGCCCUUUCGGGGGUACACGAGCGGCGAACGGGUGAGUAACACGUGGGUGACCUGCCCUCAGCUCUGGGAUAAGCCCGGGAAACUGGGUCUAAUACCGGAUAUGACCUCUCAUCGCAUGGUGGGUGGUGGAAAGUCGGUGUCAUUGAUGCCGGCGGUUGGGGAUGGGCCCGCGGCCUAUCAGCUUGUUGGUGGGGGAUGGCCUACCAAGGCGACGACGGGUAGCCGGCCUGAGAGGGCGACCGGCCACACU
RNAcentral lists this ribosomal RNA (297 nucleotides) under uncultured bacterium. RNAcentral's name for it is "partial 16S ribosomal RNA". It matches the Rfam family "Bacterial small subunit ribosomal RNA", at positions 28 to 314 of the family's 1533-position model. The record is from RNAcentral.